Molecule: transfer RNA, 86 nt
Filed under: Clostridiales bacterium
Lineage: Bacteria; Bacillati; Bacillota; Clostridia; Eubacteriales
Description: tRNA-Leu
Rfam family: tRNA
About the family: Transfer RNA (tRNA) molecules are approximately 80 nucleotides in length. Their secondary structure includes four short double-helical elements and three loops (D, anti-codon, and T loops). Further hydrogen bonds mediate the characteristic L-shaped molecular structure. tRNAs have two regions of fundamental functional importance: the anti-codon, which is responsible for specific mRNA codon recognition, and the 3' end, to which the tRNAs corresponding amino acid is attached (by aminoacyl-tRNA synthetases). tRNAs cope with the degeneracy of the genetic code in two manners: having more than one tRNA (with a specific anti-codon) for a particular amino acid; and 'wobble' base-pairing, i.e. permitting non-standard base-pairing at the 3rd anti-codon position.
Source: RNAcentral
GCGGAUGUGAUGAAACGGCAGACAUGCAGGCUUCAGAUGCCUGUGCUAGAAAUAGCGUAUGGGUUCGAAUCCCAUUAUCCGCACCA